UUCUCUCGAUUGCAAGUGCUAAUGGUGCAGUCAAGAGGAUGUAGAAGGCAGUGGACUAUCACCAAGAGGUCGAUCGUAGAUCCAAGAUGCUGGUGAGUUUGAUAGUUGAUAAGAAUAUGAUGAGGACACUAGUAAAAAUAUUGGGUAGUAGGCACCAAUAUAAGUGCAGAGGGAACGCUCGCCAAGCAGAAUUGAACAGUGAUAGAGAAUCAUUGGAGAAGUCGAUUACUAGAGGAGACUGAUUAGAUCAACAAAGUGGAGUAAAUAUACUGUAGAGUAGAUCGUACUAGAAGAUCGAUCGACAAGAGUCACACGUCUUUAGUGGAAGCCUUGCCUUGGGUUCGGGUUGUAACAAUUAUUUUCUAUGAUGAAGGACUUUUUUUUUUGGUCAGCUAACUACAAGUUUGAGUUUUUUUUUGUAUUAUUGUCAUUUAUUUACUUGAUUUCAGUUUCUGCAUCUUGUCUUUAGAUGAUCAUGGAGUCAAUAGAAAACAAGACAAGCAAGCUUGUUACAGUGUCAUUAUAUUAGCCAAAACUCAUUGCACUUGUGCAGCGAGGAACGUAUGCUACAUCACUGUAGGAUCUCCAACACAGGAAUUGGACCUCAUG
RNAcentral lists this long non-coding RNA (609 nucleotides) under Musa acuminata (dwarf banana). RNAcentral describes it as "long non-coding RNA (MACU_LNC006513)". Lineage: Eukaryota; Viridiplantae; Streptophyta; Magnoliopsida; Zingiberales; Musaceae. The record is from RNAcentral.